Molecule: ribosomal RNA, 224 nt
Filed under: Salmonella enterica subsp. enterica serovar Indiana str. ATCC 51959
Lineage: Bacteria; Pseudomonadati; Pseudomonadota; Gammaproteobacteria; Enterobacterales; Enterobacteriaceae
Description: partial 23S ribosomal RNA
Rfam family: Bacterial large subunit ribosomal RNA
Source: RNAcentral
CUGGUGUUCGGGUUGUCAUGCCAAUGGCACUGCCCGGUAGCUAAAUGCGGAAGAGAUAAGUGCUGAAAGCAUCUAAGCACGAAACUUGCCCCGAGAUGAGUUCUCCCUGAGACUUUAGGUCUCCUGAAGGAACGUUGAAGACGACGACGUUGAUAGGCCGGGUGUGUAAGCGCAGCGAUGCGUUGAGCUAACCGGUACUAAUGAACCGUGAGGCUUAACCUUAC